GAGAAGACUCCAGUGAGAUGCUCUAUUGCCACAAAUGAGCUUCCUUUUGGUUUUUGCUUUCUUGCCCUUAUCAGCUGCUGAUAUUGUUCAGCUGCCAGAUGUGAUCAUUAUGGAAGGGGGUGCAACCACACUGGCAUGUUCUCAACUUAAGACCAGCCAUACAUAUAUGUCCUGGUACAAGCAAGAGAAGAGGAGGGAAGCCCAUUCACAGUUCCAGCUGGUGGCUUUUACAUCUAAAGGUUCUACAGGAGAAUCUGCCAUUGAAGAACCCUUCAAAAAACGCUUCAAGACCUCAGGGUUGAAGUCAACUGCCUUGCCUCUGUCUCUGGAGAAUGCCCAGCUGGAAGACACAGGCACCUACUACUGUGCUUCACAAGACUACACAGCCGAGCAAAUGCUGAGGAAGCCAAGCCAAAACCUCUUCACAGGAAACUCCCCUGUGGCAGAUCCUUCCCAAUAA
Protobothrops mucrosquamatus (brown spotted pit viper) is the source of this 460-nucleotide non-coding RNA. NCBI's taxonomy places the organism in Eukaryota, Metazoa, Chordata, Lepidosauria, Squamata, Viperidae. The record is from the annotation of a RefSeq genome assembly.